RNAcentral lists this ribosomal RNA (2505 nucleotides) under Triticum aestivum (bread wheat). RNAcentral's name for it is "partial small subunit ribosomal RNA". Lineage: Eukaryota; Viridiplantae; Streptophyta; Magnoliopsida; Poales; Poaceae. The record is from RNAcentral.
AUGAACCCUGUUCGUGACGUUUCAAGCAGGGUGCCCUCUUCCAGACUUGUUCUCGAAUAUGAAACCACAGGUCCAAGUGAGCACGCGCAGAGCAAAACGAUUGCAUGCAUAUCCAAUCGCACCGCUGUGCAACUACGUAUGUACGUACUGUUAACAGCACUCUUCUCACAGAGAUCUAUUCCUCAUCAAUUAGAACUACAAGCCAUGGAUUCACCAAGGUCUAGCCAUUACAGAGGAGAGGAACACGAGAGGGAGGAGAUACACACAAAAUUUCCCCACCGUAAUCGAUCUCCAGCCAUGUCACGGGGAUCAGCUUGGGCUGGCCGCCCUGAUCGAGUGUUCACGUCGGUGGAGGACCCGCAGCAGCGACGCCUCGCCGAGUGGAUGGACCAAGACAAGCAGGCGCGGCGUCGCGCCGAGUUUGGCAUCCGUAUUGCAGCCAUCGCGGCGCAGGUGGCUUCCGAGGUGUCGGCGGCGGUAGCAUCGGAGGUGUCGGCUGCCGUUGCCGCGGCGCUACAGUCUGCGCGGGCGGGGCACCACGAGUACCUCGACCUUGAGUCGACGACCACAUCGACCCCAACUGCUCCAGUGGCGGACGACCUCGCCUCUCCCACCGCAGCAUCAAAUUUGUCCGAGGUCAUCGUCGGUGUCGUCACCGAGUGUGGCUGCACCGACCUCGAGCCCACGGCCGCGACCUUAACUCUGACCUCCGCACUGGACAUCUCGGGCGCCUGUUCAGCGAUGAACUCGCUCGCGCUCCCUACAACCAGUGGCUGCUCCGCCGUGGUGCACACCACGUGUUCGACGCAAUGCGCAAGCCGCACCGUCACCAUGUCGGUGUCAGCGACAGCUCCAGCCACAAUGUCAGCUUCGUCCAAGGUCACCGGCGAUGUCGUUCCCGAGCUCUGCUGCCUUGACCUUGAACCAUCAGAUGUCCUCGAGCUUAUCAGAACGCCGCCCAAGUGUUCGACAGAAGGUCUAAAUGACGACCCCGUGGUCAUGCAUGAACAGCAGGAGCGCUCCAAGGAAUAUGAACAUUCAGUACAAGAUGCCAACAUGCCCUGUGUGCUUCAUGUCAUCAACAGUUGUGAGUUCCCUGGAACUACCAACCAGGUCAAAACUGCAGCCCUUCGCCCAACUAAAUCAAUCACCGAGCACAAGCUAAUUGGUGUGGAUUCACUGCACACACCGUGGACUCCAGCGAGGAGCACAACUUGUAGAAUGUUCAACGUGCAAGGUACACUGUAUGUUAUGCAGUUAUCAGGGGAAUUGCAAGACUUGGAAACAGUGGAACCUACAGGGAGUGCACCUCUCACUGUGAUUUAUAGUGUUCCUGGAGUUCAAACAGCACGGCUGAAUCCAACUGUAUUCAAGUGGUCAGAUCUUUUUUGUUUUGCCACACAAUUUCUUAGUGCAAGCACUCUUGAUUUAUUACUAGCGAAGCGAGAUGCACCUACUGUGAUUGGGAAUUUGUGCUGUGAGAUUCAGAGCAAGGGAAUAAUAAUAGAGAGACCAUAUUGGCAAUUGAUUGCGGAAGUAAGUUUGGAAGCACUCAAGCUUUCAUGGCUGCCACCUCAAGGUAUUAUUUGUGUACCACUCAGAAUUUCUCUGCUGAAGAAAUCAAUUGGCAUAUCUCGACAAUUCUAUUGGGAGGGUACAAAUUCUUUUGCAGUAGUGUGGGCACUGACUUUGCAAGUGUACGAGCAUAAGAACAGAUGCAGUUUACUAGAACAUGAUACAUCAGUGGUGCUCCUUAUUGCUCAUGGUACUACUAUCGUUCAGUGCAUCCUUGUGCAUCAGGAGAGGUCCAUUGGAAGUUUGAAGAUUGAUAUGUCAACUAGAGAUAUAAUUGCAGCAUUACAUAGGAAGAAGCCAAGGCCUUGUUGGACGACAUUUUUCUAUGGCCACCAGUUACACUAUUCUGGCCAGUCAGAUUCAGUUACAAAUGUUUUUCAGAACCAGCACAGAACUGAAUAUUCCAUUGGAAGAGUCAUUCUUGAGGAUUUCCAGUGGGCACCUGCUUGGUCCUUUUCCAUGGAGUUUUUGCUAUUUGGAGAUGAAUGUUCGUUUGAAGCUCUGUUGGGCUGCCACAUCUAUAGUGCGUGUUUGUUGGAUAAAAGCAUGGGGAUCACUCUAGGAAGCGAUGCAAGCGGCGGUGAAUGCAUAAUAAUCAGUCCUUGCCGUCCCCAAUUUCAACCCGAACCAUGUGAAGGGACUUGUUGCUAUAGCUUUCGUGUUGUAGUUUUUUCACGAGUUGUUCCUGCGAUGAGGCUUGCAUACUUUGAGAGGCCUGGAAUGGGGCUAUAUCAGGAAUAUAUGCAGCUGAUUGGUAUGAUUGGGAGGCAGGUUCCUGCUCUUGAUUUAUGGGCUACCAGAUUGUAUUCCAGCCAAGGGAAACAGAGGGCGUGCAGCUUAGCGCAUAUUCCUUCUGUUUGGAAAUUUCCUUUCAACACCGCCCAUGUUUCCAACGAACAAGUUUCCAGUUCAGGAGGUGUGCUACUCUGA